Molecule: ribosomal RNA, 455 nt
Filed under: Klebsiella pneumoniae
Lineage: Bacteria; Pseudomonadati; Pseudomonadota; Gammaproteobacteria; Enterobacterales; Enterobacteriaceae
Description: partial 23S ribosomal RNA
Rfam family: Bacterial large subunit ribosomal RNA
Source: RNAcentral
CCGCCCAAGAGUUCAUAUCGACGGCGGUGUUUGGCACCUCGAUGUCGGCUCAUCACAUCCUGGGGCUGAAGUAGGUCCCAAGGGUAUGGCUGUUCGCCAUUUAAAGUGGUACGCGAGCUGGGUUUAGAACGUCGUGAGACAGUUCGGUCCCUAUCUGCCGUGGGCGCUGGAGAAUUGAGGGGGGCUGCUCCUAGUACGAGAGGACCGGAGUGGACGCAUCACUGGUGUUCGGGUUGUCAUGCCAAUGGCACUGCCCGGUAGCUAAAUGCGGAAGAGAUAAGUGCUGAAAGCAUCUAAGCACGAAACUUGCCCCGAGAUGAGUUCUCCCUGAGACUAUAAGUCUCCUGAAGGAACGUUAAAGACGAUGACGUUGAUAGGCCGGGUGUGUAAGCGCAGCGAUGCGUUGAGCUAACCGGUACUAAUGAACCGUGAGGCUUAACCUUACAACGCCGAAG